Long non-coding RNA from Bicyclus anynana (squinting bush brown), 2065 nucleotides. RefSeq lists it as uncharacterized. The transcript is spliced from 3 exons. The record is from RefSeq and is a predicted model, not a curated record. Lineage: Eukaryota; Metazoa; Arthropoda; Insecta; Lepidoptera; Nymphalidae.
ACGGCAGUAGAGCGCUUCAGUGGGUGACGUGCGUGUGGUACAGCGAAGUGCACGGGGCGGCGCCGCGCCUGCACUGCUCCACCACCAACCGCACCGUGGCGCCGCUGCUCACCGUCACCGACUCGCUCAUACACGCCAGCGUGCAGGUAAACACGGCAGUAGAGCGCUUCAGUGGGUGACGUGCGUGUGGUACAGCGAAGUGCACGGGGCGGCGCCGCGCCUGCACUGCUCCACCACCAACCGCACCGUGGCGCCGCUGCUCACCGUCACCGACUCGCUCAUACACGCCAGCGUGCAGGUAAACACGGCAGUAGAGCGCUUCAGUGGGUGACGUGCGUGUGGUACAGCGAAGUGCACGGAGCGGCGCCGCGCCUGCACUGCUCCACCACCAACCGCACCGUGGCGCCGCUGCUCACCGUCACCGACUCGCUCAUACACGCCAGCGUGCAGGUAAACACGGCAGUAGAGCGCUUCAGUGGGUGACGUGCGUGUGGUACAGCGAAGUGCACGGGGCGGCGCCGCGCCUGCACUGCUCCACCACCAACCGCACCGUGGCGCCGCUGCUCACCGUCACCGACUCGCUCAUACACGCCAGCGUGCAGGUAAACACGGCAGUAGAGCGCUUCAGUGGGUGACGUGCGUGUGGUACAGCGAAGUGCACGGGGCGGCGCCGCGCCUGCACUGCUCCACCACCAACCGCACCGUGGCGCCGCUGCUCACCGUCACCGACUCGCUCAUACACGCCAGCGUGCAGGUAAACACGGCAGUAGAGCGCUUCAGUGGGUGACGUGCGUGUGGUACAGCGAAGUGCACGGGGCGGCGCCGCGCCUGCACUGCUUCACCACCAACCGCACCGUGGCGCCGCUGCUCACCGUCACCGACUCGCUCAUACACGCCAGCGUGCAGGUAAACACGGCAGUAGAGCGCUUCAGUGGGUGACGUGCGUGUGGUACAGCGAAGUGCACGGGGCGGCGCCGCGCCUGCACUGCUCCACCACCAACCGCACCGUGGCGCCGCUGCUCACCGUCACCGACUCGCUCAUACACGCCAGCGUGCAGGUAAACACGGCAGUAGAGCGCUUCAGUGGGUGACGUGCGUGUGGUACAGCGAAGUGCACGGGGCGGCGCCGCGCCUGCACUGCUCCACCACCAACCGCACCGUGGCGCCGCUGCUCACCGUCACCGACUCGCUCAUACACGCCAGCGUGCAGGUAAACACGGCAGUAGAGCGCUUCAGUGGGUGACGUGCGUGUGGUACAGCGAAGUGCACGGGGCGGCGCCGCGCCUGCACUGCUCCACCACCAACCGCACCGUGGCGCCGCUGCUCACCGUCACCGACUCGCUCAUACACGCCAGCGUGCAGGUAAACACGGCAGUAGAGCGCUUCAGUGGGUGACGUGCGUGUGGUACAGCGAAGUGCACGGGGCGGCGCCGCGCCUGCACUGCUCCACCACCAACCGCACCGUGGCGCCGCUGCUCACCGUCACCGACUCGCUCAUACACGCCAGCGUGCAGAUACCACAAUCAUUUCUAUACAGCACGACAGAGUGCGGCACUGUGCUGCAAAUGCAGCAACACUACCUGGUGGUGUCGGUGUACGAGGUGGCGACACUGUUCCCUCUACUGCCCGUAGUGGACGACGGGCCGAUGCGCGGACACCGCUCCAAGGAUUACUACGGACGGAGCACGAAGAGGGAAGAUAUGAACAUGGAGAUCACUUCGCCGGUCAUUGGAUUUUAGUUGGCGAACGCUUUGCUCCGCGGCGAGUUGCUGGAGCCCGUCAUAGCGACGGUGCGUGGGCGCUCCAUGGGCGGCGUGGAUGGGCGCGCGGCCACCUGGGACCCGCGCACCAGGCGCUGGACUGACAACGCGUCCGUUUUCGGACAUGCGCGACAUUCUCAGCCACAAUAUGUAGGUAAAUGGAAAUCCUGGCAUCCAUGCGGCAUCCUUGGAAAUCAGCAUGCUCAAUGGGCUUUCAUUGAACGGGCUUAUGCUACUGAUGGUGCAGGAGGACGUGCAAGAACCACAGAUUUAAACGAUAAACAUAUAAACCCAAGUUCCUACAA